RNAcentral lists this ribosomal RNA (451 nucleotides) under uncultured organism. Its description in RNAcentral is "bacterial SSU rRNA". It matches the Rfam family "Bacterial small subunit ribosomal RNA", at positions 29 to 507 of the family's 1533-position model. The record is from RNAcentral.
AACAAACGCUGGCGGCGUGCCUAAUACAUGCAAGUCGAACGGGGAAAGUAGCAAUACGAGUACUAGUGGCGCACGGGUGAGUAACGCGUGGGUGAUCUGCCUCGGAGUGGGGGAUAACCAGUCGAAAGAUUGGCUAAUACCGCAUAAGACCACUUUUAUUAGUGGUAAAAGAAUUUCGCUUCGAGAUGAGCCUGCGUAAGAUUAGCUAGUUGGUAGGGUAAUGGCCUACCAAGGCUUUGAUCUUUAACUGGUCUGAGAGGAUGAUCAGUCACACUGGAACUGAGACACGGUCCAGACUCCUACGGGAGGCAGCAGUAGGGAAUAUUGCGCAAUGGGGGAAACCCUGACGCAGCGACGCCGCGUGAGCGAUGAAGGCCUUCGGGUCGUAAAGCUCUGUCGUAUGGGAAUAAUUUUGAAUGUACCAUAUAAGAAAGGAUCGGCUAACUUCGUG